RNAcentral lists this unclassified non-coding RNA (232 nucleotides) under Montagnula sp. Its description in RNAcentral is "partial contains 5.8S ribosomal RNA, internal transcribed spacer 2, and large subunit ribosomal RNA". The record is from RNAcentral. Lineage: Eukaryota; Fungi; Ascomycota; Dothideomycetes; Pleosporales; Didymosphaeriaceae.
CGCACAUUGCGCCCCUUGGUAUCCCAUGGGGCAUGCCUGUUCGAGCGUCAUAAACACCUCUCAAGCGCUGCUUGGUUCUGGGAGCCCGCCGUCACCGGCCCUCCUUAAUUUCAGUGGUCGGACGUCACCGCCAGAGCGUAGUAUAUCGUCUCGCUCCUGGCCGGGGAUCGUUGCUGUCCAGAAACUCCUCUUAGUUGACCUCGGAUCAGGUAGGAAUACCCGCUGAACUUAA